GGAAUGUCACCUGUGUGUUUUCUCUGCAUACCCUCUUCAUUGUUCUGCUGAAGACUGGUCUCUUCAUGUGUGAGGGAGGAGGUUGGGUAUUGAGAAAAAACAGGGGGC
Chlorocebus sabaeus (green monkey) is the source of this 108-nucleotide microRNA precursor. Lineage: Eukaryota; Metazoa; Chordata; Mammalia; Primates; Cercopithecidae. The record is from Ensembl.